AUACGUAGGUGGCAAGCGUUGUCCGGAAUUAUUGGGCGUAAAGCGCGGGCAGGCGGUCCUUUAAGUCUGAUGUGAAAGCCCACGGCUCAACCGUGGAGGGUCAUUGGAAACUGGGGGACUUGAGUGCAGAAGAGGAAAGUGGAAUUCCAAGUGUAGCGGUGAAAUGCGAAGAGAUUUGGAGGAACACCAGUGGCGAAGGCGCUUUUCUGGUUUGAAAAGGACGCUGAGGGGCGAAGGCGGGGGGAGAAACCAGGAUAAGAUCCCCUGGUAGCCCACGCCGUAAAGGAUGAGUGCUAAGUGUUAGGGGGUUUCCGCCCCUUAGUGCUGCAGCUAACGCAUUAAGCACUCCGCCUGGGGAGUACGGUCGCAAGACUGAAACUCAAAGGAAUUGACGGGG
Molecule: ribosomal RNA, 397 nt
Filed under: uncultured bacterium
Lineage: Bacteria
Description: partial 16S ribosomal RNA
Rfam family: Bacterial small subunit ribosomal RNA
Source: RNAcentral